Molecule: ribosomal RNA, 773 nt
Filed under: uncultured bacterium
Lineage: Bacteria
Description: bacterial SSU rRNA
Rfam family: Bacterial small subunit ribosomal RNA
Source: RNAcentral
AGAGUUUGAUCCUGGCUCAGGACGAACGCUGGCGGCGUGCUUAACACAUGCAAGUCGAACGGAAAGGCCCUUCGGGGUACUCGAGUGGCGAACGGGUGAGUAACACGUGGGUGAUCUGCCCUGCACUUUGGGAUAAGCCUGGGAAACUGGGUCUAAUACCGAAUAGGACCGCGCUCUUCAUGGGGUGUGGUGGAAAGCUUUUGCGGUGUGGGAUGGGCCCGCGGCCUAUCAGCUUGUUGGUGGGGUAAUGGCCUACCAAGGCGACGACGGGUAGCCGGCCUGAGAGGGUGACCGGCCACACUGGGACUGAGAUACGGCCCAGACUCCUACGGGAGGCAGCAGUGGGGAAUAUUGCACAAUGGGCGCAAGCCUGAUGCAGCGACGCCGCGUGAGGGAUGACGGCCUUCGGGUUGUAAACCUCUUUCAGUAGGGACGAAGCGAAAGUGACGGUACCUACAGAAGAAGGACCGGCCAACUACGUGCCAGCAGCCGCGGUAAUACGUAGGGUCCGAGCGUUGUCCGGAAUUACUGGGCGUAAAGAGCUCGUAGGUGGUUUGUCGCGUUGUUCGUGAAAACUCACAGCUUAACUGUGGGCGUGCGGGCGAUACGGGCAGACUAGAGUACUGCAGGGGAGACUGGAAUUCCUGGUGUAGCGGUGGAAUGCGCAGAUAUCAGGAGGAACACCGGUGGCGAAGGCGGGUCUCUGGGCAGUAACUGACGCUGAGGAGCGAAAGCGUGGGUAGCGAACAGGAUUAGAUACCCUGGUAGUCCAA